This 212-nucleotide ribosomal RNA is filed under the name Bacillus mycoides. RNAcentral describes it as "16S rRNA. Bacterial SSU". It matches the Rfam family "Bacterial small subunit ribosomal RNA", at positions 1 to 205 of the family's 1533-position model. Lineage: Bacteria; Bacillati; Bacillota; Bacilli; Caryophanales; Bacillaceae. The record is from RNAcentral.
CUUUAUUGGAGAGUUUGAUCCUGGCUCAGGAUGAACGCUGGCGGCGUGCCUAAUACAUGCAAGUCGAGCGAAUGGAUUAAGAGCUUGCUCUUAUGAAGUUAGCGGCGGACGGGUGAGUAACACGUGGGUAACCUACCCAUAAGACUGGGAUAACUCCGGGAAACCGGGGCUAAUACCGGAUAAUAUUUUGAACUGCAUAGUUCGAAAUUGAA